Molecule: long non-coding RNA, 2339 nt
Filed under: Hordeum vulgare
Lineage: Eukaryota; Viridiplantae; Streptophyta; Magnoliopsida; Poales; Poaceae
Description: long non-coding RNA (HVUL_LNC012765)
Source: RNAcentral
CCAGCCCAGCGAUCAUGUCUUCUGCCAACACACAAUAACUUGGUGUAGAAAAUAACCAUUUGUUGAUCUCUUGCGAAUUCAAGGUUUCAACAUUACAAAAUAAAUGAGGCCAAGCGGCACAUACGAUGCGGCUGCACUUAUCUACAUUAUUUAGUAGACAUCUCAUGGGCCUAUAUGAUACGAAAUGUAACUACGCGACAUCGGAAUAACGCGGUAGUGGAACUCCACUCCACAAGGACACUUCUGGGACACGAUACUAGAUAACGCCAAACUGAUUGACAUCGAUGCCUUGCAUGACUUCUCGUGCAUCUGUCAUGAUAAGCGAGGUAAGUACUUUGAAUGUACUCGCAAGCUCACAACAAACAAAGAAAAUAUGACAAACAAUAACAAGACAUUUAACAGAUUAAUGCGAAAUAUGAAAAUGAUGCCUUCAUGAAGUGUAUGUGAAAUAAAUCAUGGUCACGAGGACCAGGUUACCAUCUCGGGUUACCUCGUAACCACCGCCAACAACUUUCAACCUUGAUCCUCAUUGCUCACCUUGUGCCAUCUUAGUGUAACUUAACUGUGUCGGUUAUUUAUUACUAUUGACCCACAAUGUGACCUACUAUGAACUGUGUCCAUGACCGAGGACGCGGCUAUCGAUAGAUUAUACACUCUUGAGAGGUUAGUACACUGUACCCAUACCAAGGAACUCAUGGAUUCGUGCUCCCAUUCGGGUGGAACAAUGACAUUCUGUCAAAACCAAUCUAUUGCAACACUCUCUCGGCCACUCCAACAAACUGACCUUUGGGAUAUGUCAUGGGUGACCCUGAUGUCAACUCAUGACAUCCGCCACCUUUGUAGCGGCGACCGUAGUGGCAAAACAAACUCGUCCCAAAUGGGGACAUCAGUACCGUACAACUACGGGUAUAGAAGGUUAUGCUUGCCCAUCGGGCCAGGGUAGCGCAAACGCACAACGUUCCCUCAUUGGAGGCACGAGCAAGAGGCAUGACAAUAAACCGCAUUAGGGCCUCCCAUCCACACAUGCGUGGUUGCACUGGUGAGCUCGAUUCAGUGGCAUCAUGACUCGAUCAACAAAUUGUUCAAGUUGAAUUAUCAUCGGGUUUAACUUGAAAAUAAAAUGAUUUGAGUCAUAGCAUGAAGUGAGGUGCACAUGUCAUGAUGAAAAUGCAACCAUAUGCAUUAUGACAAUAUGAGCAUAAGCAACUAUUGCAUCAGUGUAACCAUGGUAUGGAUCAUAAGUACUAUAUGAUUAGCAUACUAGAAUGGCAUGAAAUGAGUGAAUCAUAUUUAGCAUAAUAUAAUUGGUUAUUUAAUAAUUAUGCAUAUGGAAUGGUAUUUUUAUUCAAAUAAACCAUUGCCAUUGCAAUGCCAUCCUUGGCAAUGAAUGUUGUGGCUUGCCUUAGUUGAGAGGAGUGUCACACUACUCCUGGUCCUCUUCAAGGGAAUUAUUUUCUUGUGAAAAUAAUUUAAAUAUAAAAGGGAAAUGUCACAUAAAGCAAUUUAUUACACCAGAAUUUCUACACAACAAGGAACAUUCUCAAAUUUUAUAGGCAGAAAGUUAGGUCAGUACAAAACUAAUGCAAAAAGUAUCAACACAAUUGGACUUAUGUUUUAAAAAUUACAGUUGGUCAAAGUCUGAUUAAAAUAUUUGAAUUUAAACAUCAACCAAAAAAUUCUAGAGGAGGCCACGUCGAAGGCGUAUUUUUGCUUGGCACCUCUACUUAUUCCGCUUCGGGUGAGAUAGGGAAAGAGAGAGAGGCUGAGUGCCAUUGUCAAAGUUAAAGAGAGAGAGAGAGAGAGAGAGAGAGAGAGAGAGAAAGUGGGAGUUCAGAGAGCGACUACUCUGUCACCGGUGGUUCUCCGGCGAGGAGCCCACAACGAUCACCGAAGAGAGAGGGAAUGGAUCCAGAAUGUCCUCACGGUCACUCACGUACCCAAAAGUCUAGGUGAGGUGGACGGACGAUGUCGGAAUGGAGCUCUCGAGAGAAGGCAUGCGACGAGCUCGCCGGAGUUGAGGAAGAAAGUGUUAAUCUGUUGAGCUAGAGGCUCCUUCGAGCUCAAGAGAUCACCAAGAGCUCGUAUGAGGAGGAGAGCAACGACGAAGAGCACCAGAGCGAGUGGGCAACCGUGGGGGAUCCGCGGCUAACUCAGAUUAGGGCUCGAUGCUUGAGCCCUCCCGGCAUAGCCCCGAGCUAUGGUAGUCGAUUCGUGGCUAAAUGAGGAGUUGUGGAUAACUAGAUUAACUCGGGAGCAUCUAUAUUUAUAGGGAAUGAAGUGACCGAGCUCGGGCACCGCCAGAAAAGAGCUACAUGAGUGAGGAGGCGGAGAGAGGGCUC